CCUGAGGAGGCGCAGGCAAGCUUCCUCAGAACCAGCCAGAGUGAGAAAAACCUUCCUGGGGCCAAAGUCGCUAACACAAAGGAAUAAAACUCCCACUGGUGAUGGCGCCAGGGAGGGAAGGGUAUGACUUCACAGGACGGAUCCUUCUCCAUGGAGUCUGCUUUCAACAGCUCGUGUAAAAGGAGACAUUCUACCAGAAGUAACUCAAUCAGAUUUUGGAGCAGCAUAGAGAUCAAAGCAAACUUCUGAUGGCAUUCGGGGACAAGAAGAAACAGAGGCGUGGCGCCCCACAAACCCCCGAGGUCGUCUUUCUCACGGUUUCCAAGAGCUGUUGGCUAGGAACUGAUUGCUGCGCUCACCUGUGACCGCCCAGCUCGAGACAACAGAAUUGCUUCCUGCUGUGCCAGCCAAGAUAGCAGACCACUACCUGCUGUGUCCAUCAAGCGCUGUGCGACAGGGCAAUCUUGUGACUAUUGUGGGAGGGACAUUUCAAUCCUAUGUGA
Molecule: long non-coding RNA, 503 nt
Filed under: Equus caballus (horse)
Lineage: Eukaryota; Metazoa; Chordata; Mammalia; Perissodactyla; Equidae
Description: lncRNA (ENSECAG00000046446.1)
Source: RNAcentral